Molecule: long non-coding RNA, 9478 nt
Organism: Hypanus sabinus (Atlantic stingray)
Lineage: Eukaryota; Metazoa; Chordata; Chondrichthyes; Myliobatiformes; Dasyatidae
Exons: 3
Source: RefSeq, a predicted model, not a curated record
CCCUAACCAUCCACUGUGUAAAAAAGUUUUCAUGUCACAUUUGAUUCUUUUUUCGUACCCUUCAGUCAAUGUCAUCUGGCUCUUGACUCCUCCAAUGGAAUAGGUUUCUGUCCAACUCUUCAAACUUCAUGAUUUUAAGCAUCUCGAUCAGAACCCCUUGCAACUCCAAAUUUACUCACAUUACUGAAAUAAUUUUAGUAAACCUCUUCUACCAUAUCUAAAGCUUUGACAUCUUUCCUAAAAUGUGGCACCUUGAACUGGAUAUGAUAUUUCAGUUACGUUACAAAUGUUACAAAUUUCAUUUUGACUUUCUUGUUAUUAAAUUCAAUGCCACUAGUAAUAAAUAAAAUACUGCAUCCUGUAUUUAACCAAUUUCUCAGUCUUUUCUACUACUUCCUUUAUUGAGACAUUCUUAAUAUCUGUACCUAGUUUAUAAUAUACCUCCCUUUCUUCCUCCAAAAUGUAAUACUUAACAAUUGGCAAAAGUAUAUUCCCUUUGGUACCUUUUCCACCAUUCCACCAGCCUUCCUAAUUCUCUUUGGAGCCUAUUACUAAUUUCCUCAUGACUCACAAAGCCUCCAAGUUUCAUGUCAUUAAACUUGCACAUUUUAUCUUGUACACCCACAUCUAAGGCAUUAGAAGAGGUCCCAGUUUCUCUGGGAACAUCACUGCAUGCAUCCCUCCAGUCAUGGCUCUAUGCCAGUUUCCUGUAUUUUUAAUUAAUUUUCUAUCCAAUCAAGAUCGAAGAUUGCUUAAUGUCAUUUCCUGUACAUUUACAAAUACUUUAUUGUCACCAAAUAAUUGAUACUAGAGCUUACAAUUAUCACAGUGAUAUUUGUUUCUGCGCUUCGCUCUCCCUGAAGUACAAAUCGAAGUAAAUAUAAUAAAAAUUUAAAUUAUAAAUCAUAAUUAGAAAAUAGAAAAGGGAAAGUAAGGUAGUGCAAGUCAGGUCCAGAUAUUUGGAAGAUACGGUCCAGAUCUGGGACAGGAUCUGUUCAGCAGUCUUAUCACAUUUGGAAAGAAGCUGUUCCCAAAUCUGGCCGUAUGAGUCUUCAUGCUCCUAAUCCUUCCCCCAGAGGGAAGUGGUACAAAAAGUGUGUUGGCUGGGUGGGACUUAUCAAGUUAAAAAUGAAAACAGAAUGAAAAUAAUUGUUAUUGUGGAUCAGAUGCAGUACGAAAACACAGAAGAUGGAGUAUUCAAUAAUAAUUAACAUACACAAUAAAUAUAAAUACAUAAGAUUGCUUAUAUAUGUGUAUUUGUGACUGACGGGAAAUAAUGAAGUAGUGGUGGAGUUAGUGGGAGGAGGUGUUGAUCAGCCUUAUUGCUUGGGGAAAGUAACUGUAAGAGUCUGGUAGUCCUGAUGUGGAUGGUUAGAAGCCUCCUGCCUGAUGGGAUUGGGACAAACAGUACUGAGCAGGAUGUGUGGGAUCCUUCAUGACUUUACUGGCCCUCUUCCGGCACCUUUCUUAUACAUCCUUGAUGGAAGGAAGGCUGGUGCCAGUGAGGCAUUGAGCACUUUUGACUACACAUUGCAGAGCCUUCUGCCGCAGUGCAGGCUCCGUGCCAAGCAGUGGUGUGGCUUGUUAAUACGUCCUCGACUGCGCACCUGAAUAACGCGAGUAUGGAUGCACAAACUCUGCCUCCUCAGAAAGCAGAGGCACUGAUGAGCCUUACUGACUGUGCAGCAUGCUUUCUGUUUUCAUGAGAGGUUGUGUGUGAUGUGCACUCCCUAGAGCUUAAUCCUCUGCUGUGACACCCAUAUAAAGGGAGUGUGAGUGAUGCAAGUUCUCUUGAAGUCAAUAACCAUCUCCUUUGUUUUGUUGACAUCAAGGAAGAUGUUAUUUUUCAGGCAUCAGGCCUUGAGUUCUUUCACCUCCUCUCUGUAGACCAUCUCUUCAUUGUUGAUGGAAAGCCCCACCACCAUUGAGUUAUCAUUGAACUUGACAAUGUGAUUGCUUGAUGAGAGGGUACAGCAAUGGGUGCAGCCCAGGGCCCUUGGAGGCACAAACACCCUUGUUGAGGUUGAUGGGGAUGGAGGAGCCAUUGUACAUCCUGACUACCUGAGAUUUGUUGGUUAGAAAGCAACACCCUGACACACAGUGGUGUAUUUGGUCUGAGAAGGAGGAGUUUGUCCACCAUGUUGCUGACAGUGUUUUAUUCCAUAGGUAUCAAGGACAAAUAUAAAGAAAGAUGCCAGAAAGGGGCCAGUAACAUCAUGAAAGAUUCCAACAAUCCUACUCAGGGAAUGUUUGUUCCACUUCCAUAUGAGAGGAGGCUACAUAGCGUCUUUGCCAGGACUACCAGAUUCAAAAACAUUUACUUUCCCCAAGCAAUAAGGGUGAUCAACACAUCCACCCACUAACCCAGUCCACCACAUCCCUUACCACCACUACUGUAUCAUUUCCCGUCAGUCACCCUACGUAGAGACACUUCUGUGCCCAGCGUCACUUUAUGGACAUACAAUCAAUCUAAGUAUAUAAACUAUCUUAUGAUUUUUAUACUUAUUUUGGCUUUCUUCUAUUAUUACUGUGUUCUUUAUCUUACUGCAUUUUUUUGUGUUGUAUCAGAUCCGGAGUAACAAUUAUUUCAUUCUCCUGUACUUGGAAAUGACAUUAAGUAAUCUUAAGUCAUUAAGUCAUUAAACCAUCAUUAAUCUUGAUUGCAAGCCUAAUAUGUGGUCUUUAUCAAAUGUGUUUUGUAAGUCCAAGUGUGCCACACCAUAAUCCAUAACUGGCCCGUUUUGUUACCUGGCAAAAAAAAUUCCAUUAAGUUAGACAUAAUUUACCUUAAACAAAUCAUUGCUGGCUCUCUUUACUUAAUUUACCUAAAUGACUGCUCAUUCUGUCCCAGAAUAUUUUUUCCAUGAUUUCCCUGUAAAUCAAGUCAAGUCAAGUCAAAUCACUUCAAUUGUAAUUUCGACCAUAACUGCUGGUACAAUACAUAGUAAAAAUGAGACGACAUUUUUCAGGACCAUGGUGUUAUAUGACACAGUACAAAAACUAGACUGAACUAUGAAAAAAACUACACUAGACUACAGACCUACCCAGGACUGCAUAAAGUGCACAAAACAGUGCAGGCAUUACAAUAAAUAAUAAACAAGACAAUAGGGCAAGGUGUCAGUCCAGGCUCUGGGUAUUGAGGAGUCUGAUAGCUUGGGGGAAGAAACUGUUACAUAGUCCGGUCGUGAGAGCCUGAAUGCUUUGGUGCCUUUUCCUAGACGGCAGGAGGGAGAAGAGUUUGUAUGAGGGAUGUGUGGGGUCUUUCAUAAUGCUGUUUGCUUUAUGGAUGCAGUGUGUAGUGUAAAUGUCCGUGAUGGCGGGAAGAGAGACCCCAAUGAUCUUCUCAGCUGACCUCACUAUCCGCUGCAGGGUCUUACGACCUGAGAUGGUGCAAUUUCCGAACCAGGCAGUGAUGCAGCUGCUCAGGAUAUUCUCAAUACAACCCCUGUAGAAUGUGAUGAGGAUGGAGGGUGGGAGAUGGACUUUCCUCAGCCUUUGCAGAAAGUAGAGAUGCUACUGGGCUUUCUUUGCUAUGGAGCUGGUGUUGAGGGACCAGCUGAGAUUCUCUGCCAGGUGAACACCAAGAAAUUUGGUGCUCUUUACAAUCUUUACUGAGGAGCCGUCAAUGUUCACUGGGGAGUGGUCGCUCCAUGCCCUCCUGAAGUCAACAACCAUCUCUUUUGUUUUGUUCACAUUCAGAGACAGGUUGUUGGUUCUGCACCAGUCCGUUAGCCGCUGCACCUCCUCUCUGUUAGCUGACUCGUCGUUCUUGCUGAUGAGACCCACCACGGUUGUGUUAUCGGCGAACUUGAUGAUGUGGUUCGAGCUGUGUGUUGCAGCACAGUUCUGGGUCAGCAGAGUGAACAGCAGUGAACUGAGCUCACAGCCCUGGGGAGCCCCCGUGCUCAGUGUGAUGGUGUUGGAGAUGCUGUUCCCAAUCCAGACUGAUUGAGGUCUCCCAGUCAGGAAGUCUAGGAUCCAGUUGCAGAGGGAGGUGUUCAGGCCCAGUAGGCUCAGCUUUCCAAUCAGUUUCUGAUGGAUGAUUGUGUUGAAUGCUGAACUAAGGUCAAUGAACAGCAUCUGAACGUAUGUGUCUUUUUUGAUGGGUUAGGGCCAGGUGGAGGGUGAUGGCAAUGGUGUCGUCUGUUGAGCGGUUGGGACGGUACGCAAACUGCAGGGGGUCCUGUGAGGGGGCCAGCAGGGUCUUGAUAUGCCUCAUGACGAGCCUCUCGAAACACUUCAUGAUGAUGGAUGUGAGUGCAACGGGACAGUAGUCAUUUAGGGAGGACACUGAAGACUUCUUCAGCACGGGGACGAUGGUGGCGGCCUUGAAGCACGUUGGAAUGGUGGUGCUGCUCAGGGAGAUGUUGAAGAUGUCAGUGAGAGCAUCUGCUAGCUGGUCUGUGCAUCCUCUGAGCACUCUACCAGGGAUGUUGUCCGGUCCAGCAGCCUUCGUGGGUUGACCCUGCACAGGGUUCUUCUCACAUUGGCCAUGGUGAGACACAGCACCUUGUCAUUUGUAGGAGAGGUGGACUUCCUCGCCACCACAUCAUUUUCUGCCUCAAAACGGGUGUAGAAGUUAUUCAGCGCAUCUGAGAGGGAGGCAUCACCUGCACAGUCAGGUGAUGUUGUCCUGUAAUUGGUGAUGUCCUGGAUGCCCUUCCACAUGCGCCGCGUGUUGCGGCUGUCCUGGAAGUAACUGUGGACUCGCUGGGCGUGUGCACACUUUGCCUCUCUAAUGGCCCGGGACAGUUCGACCCUUGCUGUUGUUAGAGCUGCCUUGUCGCCUGCUCUGAAGGCAGAGUCGCGGGACCUCAGCAGCGCACGCACCUCUGCGGUCAUCCAUGGCUUCUGGUUGGCACGUAUAGUGAUGGUCUUGGACAGAGUAACAUCAUCAAUGCACUUGCUGAUGUAGCUGGUCACUGAUGCCGUGUACUCCUCUAAGUUGGUAGAGUCGCAAUCGGUUGCAGCCUCCCUGAACUUGUGCCAGUCAGUGUGCUCAAAGCAGUCUUGAAGAGCAAGAGCUUAAACUGACUCCUCAGUAGUUACUAGAUUUAACCACUAGAUUUCAAGUGUUGAUAUUUGUAAUGUCCUAUUGCUAAACACCAAAACUGAGUUUAGUUAUUUAAAAAAUUAUGCCCAAGGCCUCUGCAAUUUCCAUUUUCUCCUUCUUCAUUGGUUGGUUGAUUAGUGGUCAGUCUUUGCCCGUUUUGUAUAAUUUUCAUUAAUUUUAUUGUAUUCCUUCCUCCCCGACCCCCAACCGUAACUGUCUGGAAAAAAAAUGGAAUCUGAAGCAACAUGGUAAUAGACACUCAGUGGUCACUUUAUUAAGUACACCAGUAUACCUGCACAUUUAUGUAAAUAUCUAAUCAGCCAAUCAUGUGGCAGCAACUGAAUCCGUAGAAGCAUGCAGACAUGGUCAAGAGGUCCAGUUGUUGUUCAGCCCAAACAUCAGGAUGGGGAAGAAAUGUGAUCUCAGUGAUUUGGAUCUUGGAAUGAUUGUUAGUGCCGGACAGGGUGGGCUUCACAAUUCAGAAACUGCUGAUCUCCUGAGAUUUUCAUGCACAACAGUCUCUGGUGUUUACAGAGAAUGGUGUGAAAUCAAAAAAAAAUUCAGUGAGUUGCGGUUCUGUGGGCGUAAACGCUUUGUUAAUGGGAGAGGAAAAUGGCCGGAAUGGUUCAGGCUGACAGGAAGGUGAGAGUAACUUGUUACUUGUUACAACAGUGGUGUACAGAAGAGCAUCUUUGAACUUACAACACAUCAGACCUUCAAGUGGAUGGGCUAGGGCAUCAUGAACACACGGAAGUACAUUCAGUGGCCAGGAGGUGCCAAAUAAAGUGGCCACUAACUUUGGUAAUAAAGUUGCUUUGAAAUCUGAUCUUUCUGAACUCAUCCCCCUGAGGUGCAUCUCAUCUGGACCAGGUUAUUUAAGUCCAGCUGGUACCUCCCCUUUAUUGGCUGGUUGUCCGUCGUAUCCAACAAUGACGGAAGACCUGUGCUGGAGAGUUUUUGAUGUGGAAAAGCUGUUGUACCAGAGCAUUUCCACUCUCUCAGCUUCGGAAGUGGGGGUCCAGUGGUACGAGUAGGUACCACAUACUGGAGUCUUCCUUGGUUUCACUGGAUAACCAUGACUUCUUCAGCGCCUUACAGUGCCUUCGCUCUCCUCAAAGCGUUGCGGAACUACCUUCUUGGGUAUUGGAUCUCACCGUGAUCUCAUUCACCCUGUCUGCCGAAGCUGACUUCACUAAAGAACUUCAGGAUGUAUAUUGUAUUCUUUCCUCUGACAUUAAAUGUGCCUAUUGAAACAUGCUGGGACUGGCAUUUCCCUAACUCUCCAGGACAUGAGGCUGCUGGCUACCCUCAUCUAGUUUAACCCACCGUGGAAGCAGUGUAGCAGGGUAUGGCCGUUGUCACACACAAACAGCUAUUUGGAGCCACACGUAAGAGAUGAUUGUCCGGUGGGGACCAAAGGUGAGUGAGCUACCCUGGAAUGGACACAACAAGCCCCUUCAUCAGAGGUGCCACCCCUCCCUGGACACCCCAUACACCCGUCCCCUUUGUUUAAUAUUAUCCCAUUAAUUGCUAUCUGCAUAAGUAUUUGUGUUGUGAGAUAGAUUACAUAAUCACAUUGUGAAUCUCUUGUUACAUUCAGAUGGUAAACUCUUACAUUCAGUAGGAAAGGGAACAGUCAGCAGUGUGUUUCAUGCUGUAGCUUCUCAAUGUGGCUGUUCCAUUUAGGUUUUCUAAUUAUCUCGUUGCUACAAUUUAGUUUAUAUGUAAAUGUUUGAAAGCUUGUCUUCAAAGAAUGUAACUUUGAAUACUGUGAUGCAGUCUUGUGACUUUGAUUCUUUUGAGCACACAGGUACACUGACUACAUUCCGAGUGACAAUGCUCAUAUUGUGCUAAUAAAAAUGACUGCAGGAAAACCUAACAAGAACAGUGACACCAGCUGUUUACAUCAUCUUUCUGGAGCUGUUGUCAAAGUUCCAGCAACAUCUUGGCAGGAGAUUCGGAGAAUCCUGAUGGGAAUUCCAGAGCUAGAAAUGAAUGGAUGGAAAUUAUAAGCCUCGCUGUUAUCACAUGGGAUUUUUGAAAAUGAGAAGAGAAUGGAGUUUUACAGGGACCUAUGGCCGCUCUGGCCUGGCAUGCUCGGGACGUCCACAGAAACCUCUGCCUGUCUAGAGCAACAUAGAGGUCAGAAAUAAACCGGGGGCAGAGGUAAGCGUAUCCAACCCCAAGCUCUGCUAUUGAACUCACUAAACCUAGGAUCAACGCACCUCAGCUUAAACACCCACCCAUUUAGUGGGAUGGGAUUACCAAUGUUGGUUAAAAUGGUAAUCGCGGUAUAAUUUUUUGCUUGUUUCUUUAUUUAUAUUUAUGUUUUAAUGUACCCACAGUUGGUUAAUGUAUUUAAAACACAUUUCUUUUUAUUUAAAUUUAUUUUUGAAGUAUGUACUUCACAUUAUUUAGACCUGUUUUAAUUAGCAGCCGUUCAGAAACAUACCGUCAUGGUGGAAUGCUCAGAGGUCCAUUUCUGCACCUGAGGCCUGGCCACCUCGAGCUCCACUUGCAGAAGUGCCGUGGAAUGGACGCCACCCGUUCAAUGGAUCCUGUGGAAGUGUGAAGGAUUACUGCAGCCCCAGGGACCCACCAGGGUGAUGUGAAGUGCAAUAAAUAACAUGAGCACAGUGUUUUCUCCCAAAUAUACAGCUCAUAAAAAUGACUCACAGGCUGUCAGCCUGUGCAUAAUGUUCAGGAGGCAGACUGCCAUCUGUUGGAAGACAACAUUUUUAUGUCAGAAUUGGAUUUUGUGAUUGAAAUCUGAAGCCAUCCGUACGAAUAUCAUUCCCUGAUCCCCAUCUGUUGUCUGCUCUGUUCCUUCUAGAUCUGAUUAGUUAAAAGAGGAUUUUAAGCUGCUGGAAAUGGCUUCCAUAUCUCUAAAGGGAUAAAAAUUUUUACGUUACGUCUACAUCUAAAUGUGCAAUGAGCAAUCAUAGUAUUUAGAACAUAAGAACGUAAGAAAUAAGAGCAGGAGUAGGUCAUCCGGCCCAUCGAGCCUGCCCCGCCAUUCAAUAAGAUCAUGGCUGAUCUGUCCGUAAACUCAGCUCCAUCUACCUGCCUUUUCCCCAUAACCCUUAAUUCCCUUACUAUGUACAUAAGAACAUAAUAUAUAAAAAUAAAAAUAUAUAAUAAUUUACGAUAAAUAGAACAGCCAAUGUAACAUAGAAGUACACACAAAUCAGCGUGAGUUCAUCAGUCUGAUGGCCUGGUGUAAGAAGCUGUCCUGGAGCUUGUCGGCCCUGGUUUUUAUGCUGCGGUGCUGUUUCCCUGAUUGUAGCAGCUGGAGUAGUUUGUGGUUGGGGUAACUCAGGUCCCCAAUGAUCCUUCAGGCCCUUUUCUCACACCUGUUUUUGUAGAUAUCCUGAAUCAUGGGAAGUUCACAACUACAGAUGUACUGGGUUGUCUGCACCACUCUCUGCAGAGUCAUGUGAUUGAGGGGAGUACAGUUCCCAUAUCAGGCAGUGAUGCAGCCAGUCAGGAUGCUCUCAUUUGUGCCCCUGUAGAAAAUCUUUAGGAUUUGGGGGCCCAUACCAAUCUUCCUCAACCGUCUGAGGUGAAAGAGGCGCUGUUAUGCCUUUUUCACCACACAGCUGGUGUGUACAGACCAUGUGAGGUCCUCGGUGAUGUGAAUGCUGAGCAACUUAAAGGUGUUUACCCUCUCAACCCCAGAUCCGUUUGAAGAUUAGGAGGAUGCAGUCAUCUAAUGCAUUGCAUGAAGAGAGUCCAUUACCUGCAUUGGAUGUCUGCCCUGAUUUUGUUCAUUUACAUUCAGUCAAAAGAACACAGCAGUUGAAUUCCUCCAUUAAUAAACUUUAGGAACAAAUACACCGUUUUAUUGUAAUUUAGAGGUAUUGAUAGUGUUGAUUUAAACACAUAAAUUGUCACUCAGUUAACCAGUAGUUUGUCUUUUUUAUACUUUUUAGUGACUUCCAUGAAACUUCUGCUAAUUUUAUAUAUCUUACUGUAAUUUAUAUAUUUAAUAUUAUAUACUGCAAUAAUGUAUUGCUGCCCCAAAACAACAUAUUUCACAACAUAUGCCAGCGAUAUUAAACCUGAGUCUGAUUCAGACUGACUGCAGAGUUGGAGUUCUAUUCCUGCCACUGUCUGUAAAGGAUUUGUGCAUACUCCCUGCCACUGCAUAGAUUUCCUCCUGGUGCUCUGGUUUCCUCCCACAUUCCGGGUAAGGGUUAGUGAGUCGUGGGCAUGUUAUGUUAGCACUGGGAGCAUUGUGACACUUGCACAAUCCUCUCUGAUUUGACUUGACACAAAUGAUGCAUUUCACUGAAGGUUUCAAUGGACACGUGACAAGUAAAGCAGAUUUUCUUUAACCUUAGGAAGUGACCAGUUUCGGAGCUGUAUGGUGAUCCAGUCAGAUGAGCUUCUUUAGAUUUGCAGAAACUGCUCUCAACCAUGCAA